AUUGAACGCUGGCGGCAGGCCUAACACAUGCAAGUCGAGCGGAUGAAGGGAGCUUGCUCCUGGAUUCAGCGGCGGACGGGUGAGUAAUGCCUAGGAAUCUGCCUGGUAGUGGGGGAUAACGUCCGGAAACGGGCGCUAAUACCGCAUACGUCCUGAGGGAGAAAGUGGGGGAUCUUCGGACCUCACGCUAUCAGAUGAGCCUAGGUCGGACUAGCUAGUUGGUGGGGUAAAGGCCUACCAAGGCGACGAUCCGUAACUGGUCUGAGAGGAGGAUCAGUCACACUGGAACUGGGACACGGUCCAGACUCCUACGGGAGGCAGCAGUGGGGAAUAUUGGACAGUGGGCGAAAGCCUGAUCCAGCCAUGCCGCGUGUGUGAAGAAGGUCUUCGGAUUGUAAAGCACGUUAAGUUGGGAGGAAGGGCAGUAAGUUAAUACCUUGCUGUUUUGACGUUACCAACAGAAUAAGCACCGGCUAACUUCGUG
This 484-nucleotide ribosomal RNA is filed under the name uncultured bacterium. RNAcentral describes it as "partial 16S ribosomal RNA". It matches the Rfam family "Bacterial small subunit ribosomal RNA", at positions 30 to 507 of the family's 1533-position model. The record is from RNAcentral.